GCCGUUAGAUGCAAUUAAAUCAAUGGUCGAAAUGUUCUCUUUUUUUCUCUCCUUCUCGCCCGUCUUUGUCUCUGUCACAGAUCUCUCUCUCUCUCUCUCUCUCUCUCUCUCUCUCUCAGACGUGAAUCUCACACAUACAUGUUUCUCUGUCUCACUCUCCUAAUCUCUCUCCCACAUACAUGUUUCUCGCUCUCUUUCCUAACUCCAAAUCUCGAUUAAUACCUUGAUUUUUUUUUUUGUAUUCUUGUUACAGGAAGCUUAUUAGCAAGGAGCUUUCUGUUCUGUUCGGAUUCAACGAUAGAAUGUUGGAACCCCUAAUCCCUCUCUGCUUUGGUGUUGUCUCUCUCUGUCUCUCUCUCUCACCAUCUCUCGAUCACUGAAGCAAGUUUUCUACUUUGGCAUCUCUCAGCUCUUAGUUAAAGAAGGCGGAGGAGGCUGAAGAAGCUUGAUGGUGGUGGUUUCGGAGUCAACUGCGGUGGUCUCGACGUCGACAACGGUGGCUGAGCGCAGUGGAGGAGACUGAAGAAGCUUUACCGUGGUGGUCGUGGCUGGCGGCGAAUAGUGGUGUAGAGAUAGGGCUAAUUUUUUUAAAGGUUAAACCGGUUUAGUUUUUUAGAUUUCUAAACUAGGUUUAGGUGUAAACUUUAGGUUAAGUAUGGUUUGGUUUAAUGUUUGUAAUUAGUUUUUGGUUUAAUGUGUUCUUUAAUUAUUUGUAUACUGAUUUUAAUCAAUAAAUAAAAUUUAAUUUUUAUUUA
Raphanus sativus (radish) is the source of this 755-nucleotide long non-coding RNA. RefSeq lists it as uncharacterized. NCBI's taxonomy places the organism in Eukaryota, Viridiplantae, Streptophyta, Magnoliopsida, Brassicales, Brassicaceae. The record is from RefSeq and is a predicted model, not a curated record. The transcript is spliced from 2 exons.